Molecule: ribosomal RNA, 427 nt
Filed under: uncultured bacterium
Lineage: Bacteria
Description: partial 16S ribosomal RNA
Rfam family: Bacterial small subunit ribosomal RNA
Source: RNAcentral
UGGGGAAUAUUGCACAAUGGGCGCAAGCCUGAUGCAGCCAUGCCGCGUGUAUGAAGAAGGCCUUCGGGUUGUAAAGUACUUUCAGCGAGGAGGAAGGCGUUGUGGUUAAUAACCGCAGCGAUUGACGUUACUCGCAGAAGAAGCACCGGCUAACUCCGUGCCAGCAGCCGCGGUAAUACGGAGGGUGCAAGCGUUAAUCGGAAUUACUGGGUGUAAAGCGCACGCAGGCGGUCUGUCAAGUCGGAUGUGAAAUCCCCGGGCUCAACCUGGGAACUGCAUCCGAAACUGGCAGGCUAGAGUCUUGUAGAGGGGGGUAGAAUUCCAGGUGUAGCGGUUAAAUGCGUAGAGAUCUGGAGGAAUACCGGUGGCGAAGGCGGCCCCCUGGACAAAGACUGACGCUCAGGUGCGAAAGCGUGGGGAGCAAACA